ACGUACACUCCUACGGGAGGCAGCAGUGGGGAAUAUUGCACAAUGGGCGCAAGCCUGAUGCAGCCAUGCCGCGUGUAUGAAGAAGGCCUUCGGGUUGUAAAGUACUUUCAGCGGGGAGGAAGGCGAUAAGGUUAAUAACCUUGUUGAUUGACGUUACCCGCAGAAGAAGCACCGGCUAACUCCGUGCCAGCAGCCGCGGUAAUACGGAGGGUGCAAGCGUUAAUCGGAAUUACUGGGCGUAAAGCGCACGCAGGCGGUCUGUCAAGUCGGAUGUGAAAUCCCCGGGCUCAACCUGGGAACUGCAUUCGAAACUGGCAGGCUAGAGUCUUGUAGAGGGGGGUAGAAUUCCAGGUGUAGCGGUGAAAUGCGUAGAGAUCUGGAGGAAUACCGGUGGCGAAGGCGGCCCCCUGGACAAAGACUGACGCUCAGGUGCGAAAGCGUGGGGAGCAAACAGGAUUAGAAACCCCUGUAGUCCCA
This 477-nucleotide ribosomal RNA is filed under the name uncultured organism. RNAcentral's name for it is "partial 16S ribosomal RNA". It matches the Rfam family "Bacterial small subunit ribosomal RNA", at positions 329 to 797 of the family's 1533-position model. The record is from RNAcentral.